GGUGUCACUGAUGAUAUCUUGGCUCCCUCUACUGAAUACUGUGAGGAGAUUGCCAUUGUUACCCAAUUUCUGUCUGAGAUGUA
This 83-nucleotide small nucleolar RNA is filed under the name Anabas testudineus (climbing perch). RNAcentral's name for it is "Small nucleolar RNA SNORD100 (ENSATEG00000004887.2)". It matches the Rfam family "Small nucleolar RNA SNORD100". From Rfam's summary of the family: The members of this family belong to the C/D class of snoRNAs which contain the C (UGAUGA) and D (CUGA) box motifs. Most of the members of the box C/D family function in directing site-specific 2'-O-methylation of substrate RNAs. Lineage: Eukaryota; Metazoa; Chordata; Actinopteri; Anabantiformes; Anabantidae. The record is from Rfam by way of RNAcentral.